Molecule: long non-coding RNA, 1090 nt
Filed under: Chloebia gouldiae (Gouldian finch)
Lineage: Eukaryota; Metazoa; Chordata; Aves; Passeriformes; Passeridae
Description: Erythrura gouldiae (Gouldian finch) lncRNA (ENSEGOG00005010832.1)
Source: RNAcentral
GAUCGGGAAUUCCCGGGAUAAUCCCAUGGAUCCACCCGGAGCUGCUCCGGGGGAAUGUUGGGAUUUUCCCCUCUGGGGGAGGAUCCCGGGAUUGGCCCCGUCCUGCGGCGCCUCUGGAAAACUCCGGAGCUUUUCCAGCUGCCCUGGGCUCCCAGUCCCAUUCCCCUUAUCCCCAUUAUCCCAUUCCCAUUAUCCCAUUAUCCCAUUCGCAUCAUCCCAUUGUCCCAUUCCCAAUCCCAUUCCUGUUAUCCCAUUAUCCCAAUCCCAUUCUCCCAAUUCCCAUUCCCAUUCUCCCAAUCCCAUUCUCCCAUUCCCAUUUUCCCAAUCCCAUUCUCCCAUUCCCAUUUUCCCAUUCCCAUCCCCAUUCCCAAUCUCAUUACCCCCUUAUCCCAUUCCCAAACCCAAUCCCAUUAUCCCCUCCCCAUCCCCAUUCCCAUUCUCCCAUUCCCAUUAUCCCAAUCCAAAAUUCCUGAUCCCAUUCCCAUUAUCCCAAUCCCAUUAUCCCAAUCCCAUUCCCAAUCUCCCAUUCCCAUUCUCCCAUUCCCAUUCUCGCAAUUCUAUUCUCCCAAUCCCAUUUUCCCAAUUCCAUUAUCGCAUUCUCCCAAUCCCAUCAUCCCAAUCCCAUUCCCAUUAUCCCAAUCCCAUUAUUGCAUACCCAUUCCCAUUCUCCCAUUCCUAUUAUGCCAUUCCCAUAAUCCCAUUCCCAUUUUUCCAAUCCUAAUCCCAUUAUCCCAUCCCCAUCCCCAUUCCCAUUUUCCUAUUCUUGUUAUCCCAAUCCCAUUAUCCCAUCCCCAUUCCCAUUCUCCCAUUCCCAACCCCAUUAUUCCAAUCCCAUUCCCAUCCUCCCAAUCCCAUUAUCCCAAUGCCAUUCUCCCAUUCCCAAUCCCAUUAUCCCAAUCCCAUUAUUACAAUCCCAAUCCCAUUCUCCCAUUCCCAUUAUCCCGAUCCCAUUCUCCCAUUCCCGUUAUCCCGUUUCCAUUAUCCCAAUCCCAUUAUCCCAAUCCCAUUCCCAUUUUCCCAUUCCCAUUACCCCAAUCCCAAUCCCAUUCCCCCAAUCCCAUUUUCCCAUUUUCCCAUCAUCCCAUCAUCC